This 818-nucleotide long non-coding RNA is filed under the name Hordeum vulgare. RNAcentral's name for it is "long non-coding RNA (HVUL_LNC006261)". The record is from RNAcentral. Lineage: Eukaryota; Viridiplantae; Streptophyta; Magnoliopsida; Poales; Poaceae.
CGGGUCAUUACUCAGUCAUGCGGACUCCAGGGAGCUUAUGGAUAUUGGGUGCAGCCGAUGGGAGACGGCCGCUCGGGUUAUCUUCAACCGGUUUGGAUGGCGUGCUAAUAAUAGGCUAGGUGUAUAGGCAUCGUAGUCUGCUGUUAGUUACGCCGGAUGUGGUUUUUUCAUAUCAGAUUUUUAUUUGUUUUCUCAAGCUGCAGAGCUUUGUGGACUUCAGACAUUUUUUUCGAAUUAUUAUAAAUAAGAUGGAUGUAUGCAUCCAUUGAUGCAGAGGCCGGGGGCUCGUUUCCUCCUUUAAAAAAAAACCCGGACAUUCCGAAUGCGGACACAUUCAGUCAUUCAGAUCACAUCAGAUCCAUGAAAUUGCUACCUAUUCUUCAAUUCGUCUACAUAAUUCAGGCCAAGUAAGCACAAAACAAACAGAUUACGAAACUGAACAACAUAUGUUUGGGGAUUAUAAACGAAAGGAGGGAGCACGUACAGUCACUGGGUGAACACUGAACACUACCUGACCUGAGCACAAGAAGCUAGAAUUAAACUGCGAAACCACGGGGGGCAAAUAAGUAACAGAAGCAAACCAAGUGGCGACGGUCGGCCGGACGGGACGGGGGAAGCGAAUGACGUCCUGACGGGCAACGCCGCCGUCGCGAAGCAGCAUCCUCGCCUAGGAAGGAAGCUCCGAUAGGGAGUGCGGUGAGCUGCCUGUGGUCAAGCAGCUGGCGGCUCGGAAGACGGUAGUCAGGAUCUGCCCCGCCGCACCGCAGCAGCAAGGGUGGUGAGCGUCGUUGGAGAUCAGAACAGCACACACAUACCGG